Long non-coding RNA from Rhincodon typus (whale shark), 1641 nucleotides. RefSeq lists it as uncharacterized. The record is from RefSeq and is a predicted model, not a curated record. The transcript has 3 exons. NCBI's taxonomy places the organism in Eukaryota, Metazoa, Chordata, Chondrichthyes, Orectolobiformes, Rhincodontidae.
AAUAAAGCGGUGCAUGACGAUUGAGCGGGAAAGAAGCUAAACUGCCGCAGUGCCCAUCUGGUGGUGACGAUAAUCAUCAUGGAAAAGGCGGGCAGUGCAGAAACCCGCUCACCACCGCUUCUCAAGAGGCACGGGGUGGGGGGGGAAGAAACAAGAGCAUCGGAAAAUGCGUCUGCAGAAUUUAAAAUUACAUCGCAACGAAGGCGCGGGAAUUUUUUUUGUUUAUAGGGAAAAAAAACAAAAAAGAAAAACUACGUUCUUUCGGAAUGACCCGGCCGCGCGUUCCGCUCCUCUCGCAGAAGGGGGCUGGUGUGGGGGAGGGAAAACAGAGGUGACUCAGGAGCCAGUUGGAGGAGGUGGGGGGUUGGGACAGACUCCAUGCUGCCCCUCAGUGAGGGGAAAAAGAAAACCAUUCACCACCAAGAUGGCGCCGGACGCCUUCCUCCAACCCUGCCCCCAGCCGACAUUUUGUCUCUGCCAACGGCCGCACCACGCGCCUUUGCUGCAGCUCCUUCUCGGCGACAUUUUCAUCGAAAAUAAAGGGAACGAUGGGCUGAUCGCCACCCUUCACUUCAGUCUCGUUUUCUUUUCUAAAUGAUUUUUUUUCCGGGGAAAACAAAAUUCGUGUCCAGUUCUCCAGCAAGGCCUUAAAGCUCAACCCGAUUGAGUGGGGUGGGGGGGUGGUGUGAGGGGGUUGGGAGAAACCCUCGUGGCCUAAGUGCGGCCUCCUCGCGGCCUACCAACCGCCAAUGCUCCUAACGGCCGUUCUCGAGCUGCAGCGCGAGCGCCCGCAGGCCGCUUCCCGCCGGCGAAGCGGCCUCAGCUCCGGAGACUUGACUACCCUGCCCUUACCUGAUUACCCUGUCAGGAGAAACAAUGGGCUGUAUUUUUCCAGCCACUAAACAACGUGGGCAAUGUAUCCAUUCAAGCACAGAUGAUGCUGGACAGACAACAAAUGAUCCAUUUCAAGACAACAAGGUGCAGAGUUGGAUGAACACAGCAGGCCAAGCAGCAUCACAGGAGCAGAAAGGCUGACAUUUCGGGCCUAGACCUUUCAUCUGAUUCAAAAUGAUCCAUUUCAUUGUGUUGCCUUCAUUUUGUGCAUUUUUUGACUGAUAGAGGUUUGGGAUAACAUUUUUGCUUUGUAUGCUGUACCCCUAUAAGAAAAACACGUAACUGUUUUCUCCAAUUAUCCUGCCAAACUUCCCUGCUCUAUGGGAAGCACAAAUAGGAAAUUUGCAGAAAAAAAUUGUUGCAGAGUUGUGGAAUGAUGAGGAUAACUGCAGGAUGAUAGAUAUGUGGUUUGGUUAAGUAGACAGAAAAGCAACAAAUGGAAUUUAUUCCAGAGAAGUGAGACGUUAUGCAUUUAAGGAAGGCAAGCAUAGCAAUGGAAUACACAAUAAAUGGCAGAGCAUUAAAAGGAUAGAGGAAGUGGGAGACCAGGAGGUCUGUGCCCACAGACCUCUGGAGGUGGCAGAAAAGUGUUAAGAAAAGGUAUAUGGGAUUCUGUCCUUCAUUGGGUGAAGUCCUGAAUACAAAAACAAGGAUGAGAUACUGGAACUAUUUUGGAAACUGGUUAUGCAACAGGUGGACUUUUUUCUACACUUCUUGUCACUACAUUACAUAAAACAGAUAAUUAUU